Molecule: non-coding RNA, 4392 nt
Organism: Dermacentor albipictus
Lineage: Eukaryota; Metazoa; Arthropoda; Arachnida; Ixodida; Ixodidae
Source: RefSeq, a predicted model, not a curated record
AAGUUAACACUUUUGGACCCAAGGAAUUUGUUAAAGUGUCCCUACCGAUUGUUGUUAGGAAAAAAACACGUAAUUUUCUCAUUUACGACACAUUUUUCUAAAAACCGCAGAGUGGCGCCACUGCAGUAUUUGUUUGGUCGACAUACCACGUUGGCUGUCAGAAAUGCACACUGCAGUAAGGCGGUAUUUGAGUUAUAUUUUAGAAGUGCCUAGACAAAAUGUGCUCCUUGUCGUGUGCAGUAACCAUCGCAAACCCUCCGGACUCGUGUAACGCCGUUAGUUCGCCGUGUGUUUCGUGCGAUCUACCAGUGUCGACAGUGAGUGUCUUACUACAGCGCCCGUCCGAGAGCUGCCUUUGUUCUGCCCACGCUCCCGUGAAAAGUCUGGUACUGGAGCUUCGAAUCGUAGUGUAUGGAAGGCUGUUGAAGGUUGUGCUUUUGUGGAGCUGGAGUUCAUCGGAAGUUCUACAGUGCUUGCGCCAGAAAGACGUCGGUGCCUCGGUACCUUUGAGACGAAGGAGCGUUGGCCAAGUCUUUUUGAAAGGCUAUGCGGAUUCUGGAGGCAUCCCUACAUCGAGCAGGAACCUGCUGCACUGCUGGAAGCUGGACAGCACGACAAUAAAGCACGUGAUCUGUGUGCUUUCUCAAAGGUAGACAUCGGCGACGGUGUAUAUGGUGAAAAGGGCCUGCUGAAGAGGCUGCGCCUGGAUGCUAACAACUCGGGCUUUCAGUUUGCGGUGGGCCUCCUUAAGGCUCCUUUUACAAAAGAAGAGGUUGAAGGGAGGCGCUACACAUGGAUGCGCAGCGAUUGUUUGUGAGAGCGUCACUGGCCUGCCUUUUCGCUUUGUUCUGGGUUUUCCACGUUAUCUACUCGAAAAAGGCCCACAGGAUUUUGACAUUUAUUGAGCACUGCUUUCUGGAUUUUUGCUACACAAAGCCGCAGGUGAAAGCAUUGGAUUUAGUCAAUUUUUACAAGAACUAUUGCUAGGCAAAAAAAUUUUCAGAUGCAUAUCCUCAAGAAAGUUUCUGUCAAAAUUAUUUUGCCUAACAAAAGCACUCGUGGGUUCUGUGGCUGACAGGUUGCCCAAGCCAUGUAGCACAGUGCUUGCUUUAAAGGGACACGAAAAAGAAAAUUUAUUUGAGCUUUAUUAAAUCAUUCUUCUACAACACCGAAAAAACAACUCCCACCAUGAGAAUUGGCUUGAUAAGCCAGAUAACUUGCAAAAACGAAAACUGGUGUCGCCACCACCACCUUAUAGUUCCUGCACCAGCUCGCUGUGAUAUGGAAUUUGACGGUGUCUGUUCGGGUCUAGCUAAUGUUCUACUGGCCAAUAUUGAUGAAUUCUGUUGUAAAGGUGUCAAAGAAUAUACUUAGUUGAAGUAUGACUCCACACUGAUGUGCGGGCACUGCAUAAAACUUGAAAAAUGAAAGUUAAAUCUUCAUUUUCUCUUCUAAUAAUCCUCUUAUUGCCACAAUGUUCAUGAAUACAGUUCUGAAAGAUUGUUUUAUCAGUAUAAAAUGAUUUACUGUUUCACUUUAGUAUUUCUGUAAUGGACCUUCAGCAACAAAAUGUGUGUUAGUAUUCCACAGGUAUUCUCAGCGGGGGCAAAAGCACCAGCAGCAUGCUCAAUGAUUCUGUACCAACUGAUAACUUGAAGGAUGUCCUGUGCCACUAGGGUUAGGCCAACGUGGCUCUGUGUUAAUCACAAGUGUAUUAUGCAAAACUUAAUGGCCCAGAAAUUGGUAAUUCAGGAGGGAGUUGAAUUAGCAAUUUUUUUUUCUUUAUCAUGGACUUCUCACAUUACACUUUGUCACAACGCAUUCACUUUAAAGUAACUGGAGAAUAAGGUGGUUUGGUAUUCAGACAUGCCUUCUCUGUGUAAACAGUGUUAGAUGAGCAAUACAAAGAUACACCAUAGAUGCUGACUGGCAACAUGAAGGGGUUUGAGGGCAGCUACAAAUAUACAUCCUUGUAGUCGUACCUAUAGCACCAUGUUCAAUUUGUCACACAAGCAUAUGGCAUCCAUCACAACUGCAUGCCUAGAAACGGACAAGGGCAACACGCUCAAUUCCCUUUUAGUCUAUCUAAGAAGCACUACAAUUUUUAGGCAACGAAAUUGAAAUCUGGCUUGUACCCAUAAGUACAGUCGCCGACCGUUUAUUCGGACCUCACGGGGACUGCGGAAAUGUCCGAAUAAACAGGUGUCCGAAAAAGCAGAUUAAGGGAAAAAAAUGAAAUCCUUUAUUUCCACGCACUUAUUCGGGCUCGGCAGUAGGCUUGAAGAAAUCGUGAAUGCGCCGUUGCACGCUGUUCCGUUUACGCGCAGUCAGACAAGCCUGAAUCUCGGAGAGGGUCGUACGGUCACUAUAGGCGGCUGAAAGCACAGUCACUGCUUGUACACGCUCCGCAGGCGACGGCAGCGUAGCACAUGGUGCGUCAACUUCCGACUCGGUCAUCGUCCGGCGGUGCAGCAGAAACCUGACGAAUGAUAUAGCCGUCGUCGAGUUCUGCGCAUGUCAGUACAGCAGUGUCGGCACCUGUGAAACUGUCAAUGAGACGGUGUCCGGAAUCGCAAUGCAACCACUGCGCAAGUCUCGGCAGAACAUUUUCCGCGUCGGUAGGGAGCACAUCGGAAGGCGACAAAUCUUUUAGGCCUCCCGGCACCCGCUUGCCGGCAUUCCGCAGCGCAGUCUGCGCGGGCACUGUCGGCGCCAUUGGAGACUUGACGCGAUGUUUCCGUAUGCCGCGUUAAUCACCGAAACCUCGACACAGCACGCAAAGCAAACACCACCGCGCCGACACCAGUCACACAAACGAAAAAACGCGGCCUGCUCGCAGCGUCGCGCGCGAAGAAACAAACAGCUGCUGGAUUGUCUUGACAUGGCUUACUAAGCUGAAACCGGAACUGCUGCAGAGCCACUCUAUCGAACUAGGCAGAAACGAUGAUGAUGAGCGGGAAUUUCCAGUAGCGCCACUUCGUGGGGCACCAAGGAAGCUACGUUCAAAACAAAAAUGGCGUUCAGCCAGUCGAACCAUGUACCGGGUUGAGUCGGUGCAUGGUGCUCUCGACCGAGUUGGGUCAAAGAGUGUCCGAAAAAUCAGACGAGAGGUUGCGAGGUGUCCGAACUUUCGGCAGUUGUUAUACAUUAUGGUCUAUGGGGAGAAUGGCGGUGCCGCGAAGCUGACCGAAUAAUCGGGCAUGUCCGAAUUUUUGGAGUCCGGAAAAUCGGUCGGCGACUGUACUGCAAUACAGUUGUGCAACGUGUUCCUCUUGUGUGGAAAACGGGCUGCAUAUGUUUUCUUUGAGCACAAGGGGGAGUGGUAUCAGUUAGAGCCCCUCCAUCCACGUGCCACUGCCGCUUUCUUAAGUAGCGACAACCUUUGUUGUGCGCCGCCUUUUCCCCUCACACCAAAUCCGGUUCCAGCAUUUCCAGUUUAAAAGUUUCCGGUUCCGGCGUUACCGCUUCCUGAAGUUGUGCUGCGGGAAUUUCCGCUUUGACUGCCGAUGGUGAGACGCCCACGCGUGCUUAGCAGAGCUGUGGGAGUCACCAUGAGAAGAAUGCAAAGGCGACAAGCUGUUGUAUUCCGCUGAAGUAGUAAUUCGUGGUCGCUGUUUUCUAAAUGCACGAAAAACGGCAGUGGUCUCCAAGCGCCCAGGCACUACAUUCCACUGUACGUUGUCUCUCGUGGCACAACCCGUCGCAGGUUGACGCGAAACAGCGAACACGAUCAGAUCGCUGAUUGCAAUAGGCGGUGGUACUUGGAUGGAAUCGCAUUCACAGUUUAAACCGCAGCUGGUGCAAUUAAAGCCUCUCCAUCGACGCGAAAGUAAACAACGUUAAGAAAAACAUAGCGUUACUUCCACUCGGAACAGGAAGCUGCAGCUACGGAAAUUCCGCUUGACACCGGAAGCUAAGGGGGUGAGUGGCAGAGGAGCGUGGAGGAAGAGGGUAGGUUGGCGGUACUUAACCUGGUCAGCGGAAACGUGUAUGGAGGGGCUUUAGUAUCAGUUAAUGGCUGUUUUCACAUAUAUGUUUUGUCGUGUGUAUUAGCAAUCACCAUUUUCCUUAUCUGAGUGAGGUCAUUUUUUAGAAAGUUUGAAAGUUUAUAGAACAUGUUGCUCAUGGUUGUUGCAGUUUUCUUCCUAACUAUCCAUUCAUUGCACUGUGCACCCAUGUCUUGGGCAACUAGCUGUUUGAAGGUCAGUAUGCUAUCGAUGGGUCUAAUGGUAAUCUCUAGUGCCCUCUCAUUUGCUUGUUGCAAUACUGAAGAGUUUUGUAUAUUGUGUCACUUGUUUAUUUUCACUGUACUUUAGUUUCACUACAUCUUGAAUGUGUUGUGAUAGUUUUUCUUUUGCAAUGAAAGAUAUGGUGGACAGUUGCCAACACUAA